ACUCAAAAAACCAAAACCCCCCUCAACUAACACACACAAUCAGUAUCAAAACCCUUGCCAUCAAUCGAUCAAAACCCUUAAAUUUCAAAAAUCACGACGAUCAUCCGCAAUUUGAGUCGAUCAUAUCACGCCUUUUUUCGGUGACCGCCUGUAUUUCUAUUCUCCGUCGAUCUAUCAACUCCGCCGAUCCAUCCAUCGGUGGGUGGAUAUGAGAACUAAAUUGAGACUUAGUACCAGAGUAUAGAGUAUGCACCAUAACUCUGUGGAAACAAGGGAAUUUGUGAACUAAUUUGAGAAUUAGUAGCAGAGGAGGUAUCUCUAGGGUGUUUUAGAUAAUGGGCUCUAGCUAAUGAAGAAAAUGAAAGAUGAUUUAUUGUUUGAAUGAUGGGUUGGUGGAUUGUGUGCGUUAUCAUUAUUGUUAAUAUGAGAUCAUUUUAUCAUUAUUGUUAAUAUGAGAUCAUUUUAUUCUU
This is a long non-coding RNA of Helianthus annuus (common sunflower), 470 nucleotides long. RefSeq lists it as uncharacterized. The transcript is spliced from 2 exons. The record is from RefSeq and is a predicted model, not a curated record. Lineage: Eukaryota; Viridiplantae; Streptophyta; Magnoliopsida; Asterales; Asteraceae.